Spodoptera litura is the source of this 1873-nucleotide RNA transcript. It is a transcript of the gene named RNA polymerase II-associated protein spaghetti, with no coding region annotated. Lineage: Eukaryota; Metazoa; Arthropoda; Insecta; Lepidoptera; Noctuidae. The record is from RefSeq and is a predicted model, not a curated record.
GUAAAGACGAAUUUAUUCUGGUACCUUCCAUUAGAAUCAUGGAUAAAGUUUUUGAAAUUCAGAAACAAGCUCGAAAUAAUGUUAAAGAUUUGCAAACUUACAUGACAGACUUGCAGAAUUGGGAAGCAGAAAUGAAAAGAAAAGAGGCUGCUUUGAACGGUGCUUUCGAACAGGACCUGCCCCCAGUUCGGAGCAAGGUAAAGAAAGAAAAGCCAGUAGUUCCUCAGAAGAAACCUGAGAGGAAGAUCAGAGGUUCUGAUUAUUCAGCAUGGGACAAAUAUGAUGUUGAUAAAGCCUGUGAGGACAUAGACAUGGAAGACGUCGGCCCGACUUCUUUAGAUGGCAAGAAGAGCCAGCAAGCCAAGCUGGAGAAACUCAAGGAGGAAGCUCAGUACGAGAAGGAGAGGGGCAACACAUUUGUGAAGCAAGAAAAAUGGGAUGAGGCGAUAUCCUGCUACAACCGAGCUAUAGAACUGGUGAAAGAUGACGCCAUUUACUUUGCUAACCGAGGACUGUGUUAUUUGAAGAAAGACAGUCUUCAUCAAGCUGAAUCAGACUGCACAGAGGCCUUGCGUCUCGACCCUACCUAUGUCAAAGCUUUACAAAGAAGAGCCACUGCCCGGGAGCGACUCGGCUCACUCCGGUCUGCGUCACAUGAUCUCACUGAAGUGCUCAAAUUAGAACCACAUAAUGCUGCAGCUAGGAAACAAUUAGAAGCUAUCAAGACUAGAAUGGGGACUAAAGGGGCUAAAUCAAAAUCGUCACCAGUAUCGACGCCUACGUCUGAGAACAAACCAAUAGUUAAACCUAAAAUACAACCAAAGAUAGUAGAACUACCAUCAGAGCCGCCCGUGGCUGGCCAGCUCAUUGCAGAUGACUGGAGAAGCGGAGUCGGAGAGAACAUCAUGGUCAUCAGACCUGUAAAGAAGCCUCCACAUUUGAGAUCUAAGAGACCACUAAAGUCCAUACCAAUCCAAGAAGUAUUACUAGGAGAGACAACGCCAGAGAAACCACCGACUCGGUUGAAAAUUGUGGACGUUGAAGACAACCUGUCCCAAGGAGAUUCGAAUAACAAUGACUCCAAUAAGAAGGACUCUCAUGGGAAGACAGAUGUUUAUGGUGAAGGGGACAAGAAGGUUGCUAGUCCGGAGUCAGUGAAGCUGGUCUCCGAUGCAAUGGUUACAGAGAAAGUCAAGAAUUUUGUACCACCUGUCAAUAGUGUUCAGUUUAUGUCGGAGUGGAAGUAUAUGAAGGGGCAGUGGGAUGCCAUGGCUGAAUAUUGGAAUCUAAUAGAACCGUCAAAGAUCCCGUCCAUAUUCGCGAACGCGCUGGAGAGCUCCGUGGUAUCGGACGUCAUACAAGUGCUACACUCCCGACGGGACAAGUUCCGCGGCCGCACUGCGGCAUACCUCGCCGGUAUCGCCAACGUACCACGGUUCUCAGCCCUCGCCAUGUUCCUCUCACAUACGGACAAACAGAUGUUAACAACUCUUCUCGAGGAUUGUAAGCAGUCUGAAAACUGUACCGACGAAGUGAUAGCUGAUUUAAAGAACAAAUAUGAACUCUGAACUUAGCUACUUGUCAAUAUUAGGUUCAUAGUUCUACACUGAUUGUAAUGUAGAUCAAGUCAUCGAGUCGAGUGAAUAGUUUGGAAUUUGUUUGAAGAACAAAAUAUUGUGAAGAUGGAUAAGUUGAUCGUAUAAAAUAUGUAAUUUCGUAAUGAUAAUAGCGGUGAGCGAAAAUAUAUAAAUAUACAGAAUACAACUUCGACAGACUGUUGAACUAUUGGCCUUUGUAACUAUCAUGAGACAUACUAAAUUAAUUAUUAUGUUUUCGGCGUACUUACGUAACUGUUUGACGAGGAAUUGGGAUG